This 497-nucleotide ribosomal RNA is filed under the name uncultured bacterium. Its description in RNAcentral is "partial 16S ribosomal RNA". It matches the Rfam family "Bacterial small subunit ribosomal RNA", at positions 28 to 507 of the family's 1533-position model. The record is from RNAcentral.
GAUGAACGCUGGCGGCGUGCCUAAUACAUGCAAGUCGAGCGAACAGACGAAGAGCUUGCUCCUCUGAUGUUAGCGGCGGACGGGUGAGUAACACGUGUAUAACCUACCUAUAAGACUGGGAUAACUUCGGGAAACCGGAGCUAAUACCGGAUAACAUGUUGAACCGCAUGGUUCAACAGUGAAAGACGGUCUUGCGGUCACUUAUAGAUGGAUCCGCGCCGCAUUAGCUAGUUGGUAAGGUAACGGCUUACCAAGGCAACGAUGCGUAGCCGACCUGAGAGGGUGAUCGGCCACACUGGAACUGAGACACGGUCCAGACUCCUACGGGAGGCAGCAGUAGGGAAGCUUACGCAAUGGGGUAAAACAUGACGGAGCAACGCCGAGUGAGUGACGAAGGUCUUCGGAUCGUAAAACUCUGUUAUUAGGGAAGAACAGAUGUGUAAGUAACUAUGCACGUCUUGACGGUAACUAAUAAGAAAGCCACGGCUAACUACGUG